Molecule: ribosomal RNA, 497 nt
Filed under: uncultured bacterium
Lineage: Bacteria
Description: partial 16S ribosomal RNA
Rfam family: Bacterial small subunit ribosomal RNA
Source: RNAcentral
GAUGAACGCUGGCGGCGUGCCUAAUACAUGCAAGUCGAGCGAACAGACGAGGAGCUUGCUCCUCUGACGUUAGCGGCGGACGGGUGAGUAACGCGUGGAUAACCUACCUAUAAGACUGGGAUAACUUCGGGAAACCGGAGCUAAUACCGGAUAAUAUAUUGAACCGUAUGGUUCAAUAGUGAAAGACGGUUUUGCUGUCACUUAUAGAUGGAUCCGCGCCGCAUUAGCUAGUUGGUAAGGUAACGGCUUACCAAGGCAACGAUGCGUAGCCGACCUGAGAGGGUGAUCGGCCACACUGGAACUGAGACACGGUCCAGACUCCUACGGGAGGCAGCAGUAGGGAAUCUUCCGCAAUGGGCGAAAGCUUGACGGAGCAACGCCGCGUGAGUGAUGAAGGUCUUCGGAUCGUAAAACUCUGUUAUUAGGGAAGAACAAAUGUGUAAGUAACUAUGCACGUCUUGACGGUACCUAAUCAGAAAGCCACGGCUAACUACGUG